CCCUUAGAUGUUCUGGGCCGCACGCGCGCUACAAUGAUGAAUUCAACGAGUUUAUAACCUUGGUUGAAAAGCCUGGGUAAUCUUUUGAACUUUCGUCGUGAUGGGGCUAGACCCUUGCAAUUAUUGGUCUCCAACGAGGAAUUCCUAGUAAACGCAAGUCAUCAGCUUGCAUUGAUUACGUCCCUGCCCUUUGUACACACCGCCCGUCGCACCUACCGAUUGAAUGGUCCGGUGAAAUCUUCGGAUUGAGACUUUGAUUUCUUCACGGAAAACGCUGUUUUAAAAAGUUGAUUAAACCUUACCAUUUAGAGGAAGGUGAANUCGUANCA
This 329-nucleotide ribosomal RNA is filed under the name uncultured eukaryote. RNAcentral describes it as "partial 18S ribosomal RNA". It matches the Rfam family "Eukaryotic small subunit ribosomal RNA", at positions 1470 to 1796 of the family's 1831-position model. The record is from RNAcentral.